GACGAACGCUGGCGGCGUGCCUAAUACAUGCAAGUAGAACGCUGAAGAGAGGAGCUUGCUCUUCUUGGAUGAGUUGCGAACGGGUGAGUAACGCGUAGGUAACCUGCCUGGUAGCGGGGGAUAACUAUUGGAAACGAUAGCUAAUACCGCAUAAAAUUGAUUAUUGCAUGAUAAUUAAUUGAAAGAUGCAAUUGCAUCACUGCCAGAUGGACCUGCGUUGUAUUAGCUAGUUGGUGAGGUAACGGCUCACCAAGGCGACGAUACAUAGCCGACCUGAGAGGGUGAUCGGCCACACUGGGACUGAGACACGGCCCAGACUCCUACGGGAGGCAGCAGUAGGGAAUCUUCGGCAAUGGGGGGAACCCUGACCGAGCAACGCCGCGUGAGUGAAGAAGGUUUUCGGAUCGUAAAGCUCUGUUGUAAGAGAAGAACGGGUGUGAGAGUGGAAAGUUCACACUGUGACGGUAUCUUACCAGAAAGGGACGGCUAACUACGUGCCAGCAGCCGCGGUAAUGCGUAGGUCCCGAGCGUUGUCCGGAUUUAUUGGGCGUAAAAGCGAGCGCAGGCGGUUAGAUAAGUCUGAAGUUAAAGGCUGUGGCUUAACCAUAGUAUGCUUUGGAAACUGUUUAACUUGAGUGCAGAAGGGGAGAGUGGAAUUCCAUGUGUAGCGGUGAAAUGCGUAGAUAUAUGGAGGAACACCGGUGGCGAAAGCGGCUCUCUGGUCUGUAACUGACGCUGAGGCUCGAAAGCGUGGGGAGCAAACAGGAUUAGAUACCCUGGUAGUCCACGCCGUAAACGAUGAGUGCUAGGUGUUAGGCCCUUUCCGGGGCUUAGUGCCGCAGCUAACGCAUUAAGCACUCCGCCUGGGGAGUACGACCGCAAGGUUGAAACUCAAAGGAAUUGACGGGGGCCCGCACAAGCGGUGGAGCAUGUGGUUUAAUUCGAAGCAACGCGAAGAACCUUACCAGGUCUUGACAUCCCUCUGACCGCUCUAGAGAUAGAGUUUUCCUUCGGGACAGAGGUGACAGGUGGUGCAUGGUUGUCGUCAGCUCGUGUCGUGAGAUGUUGGGCUAAGUCCCGCAACGAGCGCAACCCCUAUUGUUAGUUGCCAUCAUUGAGUUGGGCACUCUAGCGAGACUGCCGGUAAUAAACCGGAGGAAGGUGGGGAUGACGUCAAAUCAUCAUGCCCCUUAUGACCUGGGCUACACACGUGCCACAAUGGCUGGUACAACGAGUCGCAAGCCGGCGACGGCAAGCUAAUCUCUGAAAGCCAGUCUCAGUUCGGAUUGUAGGCUGCAACUCGCCUACAUGAAGUCGGAAUCGCUAGUAAUCGCGGAUCAGCACGCCGCGGUGAAUACGUUCCCGGGCCU
Molecule: ribosomal RNA, 1370 nt
Filed under: uncultured bacterium
Lineage: Bacteria
Description: bacterial SSU rRNA
Rfam family: Bacterial small subunit ribosomal RNA
Source: RNAcentral